ACCGUGGACUCGAGCAACAUCGACACCUUCGUGAACUGCACCAAGAUCCUGGGCAACCUCGACUUCCUCAUCACGGGCCUGGAGGGCGAUCCCUGGCGCAACAUCUCGGCGCUGGACCCGGACAAGCUCAACGUCUUCCGGACGGUGCGGGAGAUCACGGGCUACCUCAACAUCCAGUCCUGGCCCAAGCACAUGCACAACUUCAGCGUCUUCUCCAACCUGGUCACCAUCGGCGGGCGCAGCCUCUACAACCGCGGCUUCUCGCUGCUCAUCAUGAAGAACGAGAACGUGACGUCGCUGGGGCUGCGCUCGCUGCGCGAGGUGAGCGCGGGGCGCGUCUACAUCA
Nothoprocta perdicaria is the source of this 346-nucleotide long non-coding RNA. RefSeq lists it as uncharacterized. The record is from RefSeq and is a predicted model, not a curated record. NCBI's taxonomy places the organism in Eukaryota, Metazoa, Chordata, Aves, Tinamiformes, Tinamidae. The transcript has 4 exons.